Molecule: unclassified non-coding RNA, 365 nt
Filed under: Hevea brasiliensis (rubber tree)
Lineage: Eukaryota; Viridiplantae; Streptophyta; Magnoliopsida; Malpighiales; Euphorbiaceae
Source: RNAcentral
AUGUCGCCCAAUAUGCCUAUGGGCUAGUUGCUUUAGGACGUCAGUUACAUACUUUAGGGUUUACUGAUUCCCCAAAAAUUGAUCUGGACAACCCUUUGGCGGAGGAUUUGAUGCGGGCUUAUGAGAACAUGGGUGAUACCCUUGCACUACAAUAUGGUGGCUCUGCAGCACAUAAUAAGAUAUUUUCCGAGAGGAGAGGCCAAUGGAAAGCCGCAACACAGUCUCAGGAGUUUUUCAGAACACUACAACGUUAUUGCAGCAAUGCAUACCUGGAUGCUGAGAAACAACGUGCCAUUAACGUGUUCUUAGGUUACUAUCAGCCACAGCAGGGAAAACCAGCUUUGUGGGAAUUAGACUCUGACCAG